CAGUCAUCAAAUAAUGAUGGUAAUAUAUCUGCAUGUGAGUUCUAUUAAGGCUCUCUGGAAAGUAUUUUGAAAGCGAGGAAUGAAAAUGCUCGGCAAGGUAAAAUGGUUCAAUGCGGAAAAAGGUUAUGGCUUCAUUGAAAGAGAAGAAGGUGGCGAUGUAUUCGUUCACUUUUCCGCAAUUCAAGAAGAAGGUUUCAAAUCUUUAGCUGAAGGUCAAGAAGUCGAAUUCGAUAUCGUUGAAGGCGCUCGUGGUCCUCAAGCUGCUAACGUUUACAAGCGUUAAUUAUAUUGAAAACUUCUACCCUGGUCUUAUGACCAGGGUUUU
Molecule: non-coding RNA, 325 nt
Filed under: Desulforamulus ferrireducens
Lineage: Bacteria; Bacillati; Bacillota; Clostridia; Eubacteriales; Peptococcaceae
Description: Desulfotomaculum ferrireducens cspA thermoregulator
Rfam family: cspA thermoregulator
Source: Rfam by way of RNAcentral